RNAcentral lists this ribosomal RNA (253 nucleotides) under uncultured prokaryote. RNAcentral's name for it is "partial 16S ribosomal RNA". It matches the Rfam family "Bacterial small subunit ribosomal RNA", at positions 524 to 776 of the family's 1533-position model. The record is from RNAcentral.
GACAGAGGGGGCAAGCGUUGCUCGGAAUCACUGGGCGUAAAGGGCGCGUAGGCGGGAUGGCAAGUCGGUCGUGAAAUCCUUCGGCUCAACCGAAGAACGUCGGCCGAUACUGCCGUUCUUGAGGGAUGCAGAGGAGAUUGGAAUUCCCGGUGUAGCGGUGAAAUGUGUAGAUAUCUAGAGGAACGCCCGUGGCGAAAGCGGGGCACUGGGCCAAUCCUGACGCUGAGACACGAAAGCGUGGGGAGCAAACGGG